AUGAACGUCGGACCAGCGAACAGUUGCUCUGCCUCCGGAGCAGCUUCAUGGUCGACCGGAGCCUUGGGCUUCUUGUCACACCGAUCCGUGGAAGGGGCGCGGCUCGCUGGCCUCUUGACAGCGCUCCAGCUGGUUCGGGACUCCUCGCGACCGGCGCGGUCACCGCCGCCCAUGCCCAAUGCCACGCGUCCGGCACGGUCGCCGCCGCCCAUGUCCGAUGCCACGCGUUUGACUCGCUCGCCUCCGCUCAUCUCCGACAGCACGCGUCCGACGCGCUCACCGCCGGUCAUGUCCGACGCGGCGGCCAGAAUCAUAAAUUUGUUAUCUAUCCAUCUCCGGCUCGCCGACGCACGGCCAGGCUUCCCGUCCGUCCGCGAUGUCUUGAGCAACGUAGAGAUUGGGGCAGACGGUGGGGUUGGCAGCAGCGCAGGAAGAACCGCGGCCAUCUUGAUCUUGCCCUGUCAAGAACAGAGACCAAAGACCAAGGAAGCAGAAAAGGAGACGAAAAGCACGAACCCUAAUUCGAUCGGAUCGACGGAGGAAGAAGAAGGCGACUUACUCGAUUUGAUCUUCGUGUUCCGCCGAUCACCUCGCUGCCCAACGCGAGAGCUUCGAAACGAAAGGGAAAGCCGGGGUACGUAUGUGGCACCCGUAUCUACGUAUUUCUAG
RNAcentral lists this ribosomal RNA (669 nucleotides) under Triticum aestivum (bread wheat). RNAcentral's name for it is "partial small subunit ribosomal RNA". Lineage: Eukaryota; Viridiplantae; Streptophyta; Magnoliopsida; Poales; Poaceae. The record is from RNAcentral.